RNAcentral lists this ribosomal RNA (492 nucleotides) under uncultured bacterium. Its description in RNAcentral is "partial 16S ribosomal RNA". It matches the Rfam family "Bacterial small subunit ribosomal RNA", at positions 29 to 507 of the family's 1533-position model. The record is from RNAcentral.
AGUGAACGCUGGCGGUAGGCCUAACACAUGCAAGUCGAACGGCAGCACAGUAAGAGCUUGCUCUUACGGGUGGCGAGUGGCGGACGGGUGAGGAAUAAAACGGAAUCUACUUUUUCGUGGGGGAUAACGUAGGGAAACUUACGCUAAUACAGCAUACGACCUACGGGUGAAAGAAGGGACUCUUCGGACCUUGCGCGAUUGAAUGAGCCGAUGUCGGAUUAGCUAGUUGGCGGGGUAAAGGCCCACCAAGGCGACGAUCCGUAGCUGGUCUGAGAGGAUGAUCAGCCACACUGGAACUGAGACACGGUCCAGACUCCUACGGGAGGCAGCAGUGGGGAAUAUUGGACCAUGGGCGCAAGCCUGAUCCAGCCAUACCGCGUGGGUGAAGAAGGCCUUCGGGUUGUAAAGCCCUUUUGUUGGGAAAGAAAAGCAGCAGGUUAAUACCCCGCUGUUCUGACGGUACCCAAAGAAUAAGCACCGGCUAACUUCGUG